Molecule: non-coding RNA, 1256 nt
Organism: Peromyscus maniculatus bairdii (prairie deer mouse)
Lineage: Eukaryota; Metazoa; Chordata; Mammalia; Rodentia; Cricetidae
Source: RefSeq, a predicted model, not a curated record
UCAGGGUAGCAGCGGAAGUUGUGUGUUUGGGCGCUUUCUGCAACGGUACAUCAAAUGCUUCAUGGUAGUUGUUUAUUUUUCCUAUUUUUCAUUCUGUAAACUAUGGCCUUAGCUGCUCUAAAGCUGUAACAGGAGCAGUGUCCUUCGGACGCAAUGAGAACAGCACCUGGGGGCUGGAGGGACAGCUCAGCCGUUAAAGGCUAGGCCCACAACCAAAAAUAUAAGAGAAUAGCACCUAGGAAGUUGACUGAUGGUUUAGUAAGAUUCCAGGAUACUGGACUGCUCUACUUACUGUAACUUAGGCAAAGAAGCAUUUUUAAAGUUCUUCAGGACGCUUCACUUAAAGGAAAGAUGACAGGUAUAGCAAAGUAAAUGUGGCUGCUCAGUUGCCUCCCAGCUAGGUGUGAGACAGCGCUUUGCCCUCUUAAGUCAAAGCAAAUGAUGUUACAGAGUCGCUUCCCGAUUUGCAGCUCGAUCCAGAAGGUCGAUGCUAACUGAGAAGUCUCCGGAAUUGGAUCAAAUUUUCAAUUCAAAUGAAGAGAGCAACUACGCAUCUCAUGCCUCAUAGAUCUCCAAAUUUAACUCGAAGCCUGCUCCCUCCUUCCAGAUGGCUUAUGUAGUGGGAGUGGGGGACAGAAUUAGCAAGCAAACCCAGAGAGACACAGUUCUCUGCGCCCAACGCUGUCUACCUCGCUGCCAGCUUUUACUGAAUCUGGUGUUACCAAGGAGAACAGCACAGAGGAAAAUGUAGCAUGCCCUCUGGCAGCCCGACCACCUGGACAAAGCGUGAGGAGUCUACGGCUGACGCUGAGGGGAACACCAGAAUUCAGUGGCAGGGUCUUUGCAAGAAGCCUCAUUUAGUCUUGAAUUCCAGGAACCUGGGAGCUAAGAAAAGCUUUGUUGUGUGGCAGACAGCUUCAGAUCCGGCAUUCAUGAAACAGGGGAAAAAAUCAAAUGGGACCAUCCAUUAACAGAUAUGGCGACAUCGCCGUGCAAGAGGGAUUUUGUACAGGAUGGGAGGAAUGGUCACAGCUAUCUGCAAACUGUCUACAAAGUCACCACUCUGGCCACUGUCGAGACCUGAGGCGACAGAUGAUGAGAGUCCAAAUGGACCGCUGACUUGUGUGUGAUUACGAACAAAUAAGCAAUGACCAUUGAGGCAACUAAAGUUCUGAGACAGUCUGUGCAAACUAACUGAAACAACUUCUGAACCCACAAGCUAGACAAAUAACCCCCCUCUUUUUUUCAGUUUCCUG